Molecule: ribosomal RNA, 818 nt
Filed under: uncultured bacterium
Lineage: Bacteria
Description: bacterial SSU rRNA
Rfam family: Bacterial small subunit ribosomal RNA
Source: RNAcentral
AGAGGUUGAUCCUGGCUCAGGACGAACGCUGGCGGCGUGCCUAAUACAUGCAAAGUAGAACGCUGAAGACUUUAGCUUGCAAAAGUUGGAAGAGUUGCGAACGGGGGAGUAACGCGUAGGUAACCUGCCUACUAGCGGGGGAUAACUAUUGGAAACGAUAGCUAAUACCGCAUAACAGCAUUUAACCCAUGUUAGAUGCUUGAAAGGAGCAAUUGCUUCACUAGUAGAUGGACCUGCGUUGUAUUAGCUAGUUGGUGAGGUAACGGCUCACCAAGGCGACGAUACAUAGCCGACCUGAGAGGGUGAUCGGCCACACUGGGACUGAGACACGGCCCAGACUCCUACGGGAGGCAGCAGUAGGGAAUCUUCGGCAAUGGGGGCAACCCUGACCGAGCAACGCCGCGUGAGUGAAGAAGGUUUUCGGAUCGUAAAGCUCUGUUGUAAGAGAAGAACGUGUGUGAGAGUGGAAAGUUCACACAGUGACGGUAACUUACCAGAAAGGGACGGCUAACUACGUGCCAGCAGCCGCGGUAAUACGUAGGUCCCGAGCGUUGUCCGGAUUUAUUGGGCGUAAAGCGAGCGCAGGCGGUUUAAUAAGUCUGAAGUUAAAGGCAGUGGCUUAACCAUUGUUCGCUUUGGAAACUGUUAGACUUGAGUGCAGAAGGGGAGAGUGGAAUUCCAUGUGUAGCGGUGAAAUGCGUAGAUAUAUGGAGGAACACCGGUGGCGAAAGCGGCUCUCUGGUCUGUAACUGACGCUGAGGCUCGAAAGCGUGGGGAGCAAACAGAAUUAGAUACCCUGGUAGUCCACGCCGUAAACG